UACAGAGGUCUCAAGCGUUGUUCGGAUUCAUUGGGCGUAAAGGGUGCGUAGGCGGCUUGUCGCGUCGGCUGUGAAAACCUGGGGCUCAACCCCGGGCCUGCAGCCGAUACGGGCAAGCUAGAGUUCGGUAGGGGAGACUGGAAUUCCUGGUGUAGCGGUGAAAUGCGCAGAUAUCAGGAGGAACACCGGUGGCGAAGGCGGGUCUCUGGGCCGAUACUGACGCUGAGGAGCGAAAGCGUGGGGAGCGAACAGG
Molecule: ribosomal RNA, 253 nt
Filed under: uncultured bacterium
Lineage: Bacteria
Description: partial 16S ribosomal RNA
Rfam family: Bacterial small subunit ribosomal RNA
Source: RNAcentral